GCUAGCGGGAGGCCUAACACAUGCAAGCCGAGCGGUUUUGUUUCUUCAGAAAUGAGAGAGCGGCGUACGGGUGCGGAACACGUGUGCCACCUGCCUUUAUCGGGGGGAUAGCCUUUCGAAAGGAAUAUUAAUACUCCAUAAUAUAUUGAACGGCAUCUUUUAAUAUUGAACGCUCCGGCGGAUAGAGAUGGGCCCGCGCAAUAUUAGCUAGUUGGUGAGGUAACGGCUCACCAAGGCGAUGAUCUUUGGGGGGCCUGAGAGGGUGAUCCCCCACGCUGGUACUGAGACACGGACCACACUCCUACGGGAGGCAGCAGUGAGGAAUAUUGGUCGGUGGGUGCAAGCCUGAACCACCCCUCCCGCGUGAAGGACGACUGCCCUAUGGGUUGUAAUCUUCUUUUGUAUAGGGAUAAACCCCCCCCCGGGAGGGUAGCUGAAGGUACUAUACGAAUAAGCACCGGCUAACUCCGUGCCAGCAGCCGCGGUAAUACGGAGGGUGCAAGCGUUAUCCUGAUUUAUUGUGUUUAAAGGGUCCGUAGGCGUACUUAUAAGUCAGUGGUGAAAGCCUGUCGCUUAACGAUAGAACUGCCAUUGAUACUGUGAGUCUUGAGUAUAUUUGAGGUAGCUGGAAUAAGUAGUGU
RNAcentral lists this ribosomal RNA (641 nucleotides) under uncultured bacterium. RNAcentral describes it as "bacterial SSU rRNA". It matches the Rfam family "Bacterial small subunit ribosomal RNA", at positions 35 to 676 of the family's 1533-position model. The record is from RNAcentral.